UUUGAACUAAUAUACGCAUCUAUCUCAUUUUCUCUCCUCUCGUCUUUCCUAUUUGAAAGGAUUGAUUUUUAUGUAUUAUGAUGGAAAAUGAUCAUCCCUCUUAUUUUAUUUCCUCUCACUUUUCUUCUCAAUCAAAUAUACUCAAAAUUUAUUUUCUUUUCGCUUUUCUAUUACCUCCUCCCAUCCCUCUACUUUUCCACCCA
Molecule: long non-coding RNA, 203 nt
Filed under: Gossypium raimondii (Peruvian cotton)
Lineage: Eukaryota; Viridiplantae; Streptophyta; Magnoliopsida; Malvales; Malvaceae
Description: long non-coding RNA (GRAI_LNC001718)
Source: RNAcentral